This 67-nucleotide transfer RNA is filed under the name Chelurotropella siamensis. RNAcentral's name for it is "tRNA-Ser". The record is from RNAcentral. Lineage: Eukaryota; Metazoa; Arthropoda; Insecta; Hemiptera; Urostylididae.
AAGAGAAAAUGUUAAUAAAGAAGCUGCUAACUAUCUUUUUAAGCGGUUAAAUUCCGUUUUUCUCUUA